This 77-nucleotide transfer RNA is filed under the name Mycoplasmataceae bacterium. RNAcentral's name for it is "tRNA-Met". It matches the Rfam family "tRNA". From Rfam's summary of the family: Transfer RNA (tRNA) molecules are approximately 80 nucleotides in length. Their secondary structure includes four short double-helical elements and three loops (D, anti-codon, and T loops). Lineage: Bacteria; Bacillati; Mycoplasmatota; Mollicutes; Mycoplasmatales; Mycoplasmataceae. The record is from RNAcentral.
GGCAGGGUAUCUCAGUUGGUUAGAGAACUCGGCUCAUACCCGAGGUGUCGUGAGUUCGAAUCUCACCCCUGCUACCA